RNAcentral lists this ribosomal RNA (112 nucleotides) under Crocodylus porosus (Australian saltwater crocodile). The record is from RNAcentral. Lineage: Eukaryota; Metazoa; Chordata; Crocodylia; Crocodylidae.
GACUUCUUAAAGUCACUUUCCCCUGAUCUCGUCUGAUCUUGGAAGCUAAACAGUCUCAGCCUGGCUCGGACCUGGAUGGGAUGCCACCUGGGGACCCCGGGUGCUGCAGGCA